This 1756-nucleotide ribosomal RNA is filed under the name human gut metagenome. Its description in RNAcentral is "bacterial LSU rRNA". It matches the Rfam family "Bacterial large subunit ribosomal RNA", at positions 766 to 2505 of the family's 2925-position model. The record is from RNAcentral.
CUGGAGGACCGAACCGACUAAUGUUGAAAAAUUAGCGGAUGACUUGUGGCUGGGGGUGAAAGGCCAAUCAAACCGGGAGAUAGCUGGUUCUCCCCGAAAUCUAUUUAGGUAGAGCCUUGAGCGGACACCUUCGGGGGUAGAGCACUGUUUCGGCUAGGGGUCCAUCCCGGAUUACCAACCCGAUGCAAACUACGAAUACCGAAGAGUGAUACUCAGGAGACACACGGCGGGUGCUAACGUCCGUCGUGGAGAGGGAAACAACCCAGACCGCCAGCUAAGGUCCCAAAGUCUAUAUUAAGUGGGAAACGAAGUGGGAAGGCUUAGACAGCUAGGAUGUUGGCUUAGAAGCAGCCAUCAUUUAAAGAAAGCGUAAUAGCUCACUAGUCGAGUCGGCCUGCGCGGAAGAUGUAACGGGGCUCAAAUAUAGCACCGAAGCUGCGGCAUCAGUAGCAAUACUGUUGGGUAGGGGAGCGUUCUGUAAGCGGAUGAAGGUGAAUCGAGAGGUUUGCUGGACGUAUCAGAAGUGCGAAUGCUGACAUAAGUAACGAUAAAACGGGUGAAAAACCCGUUCGCCGGAAGACCAAGGGUUCCUGUCCAACGUUAAUCGGGGCAGGGUGAGUCGGCCCCUAAGGCGAGGCUGAAAAGCGUAGUCGAUGGGAAACGGGUUAAUAUUCCCGUACUUGGAUAAACUGCGAUGUGGGGACGGAGCAGGUUAGGUUAUCGCACUGUUGGAUAUGUGCGUUUAAGUUUGUAGGUGUGAAGUUUAGGCAAAUCCGGACUUCUUUAACACUGAGAGAUGAUGACGAGGCUCUACGGAGCUGAAGUAACCGAUACCACACUUCCAGGAAAAGCCACUAAGCUUCAGGUUUAUCUAAACCGUACUGAAAACCGACACAGGUGGUCAGGUAGAGAAUACUCAGGCGCUUGAGAGAACUCGGGUGAAGGAACUAGGCAAAAUAGCACCGUAACUUCGGGAGAAGGUGCGCCGGCGUAGAUUGUAGUCCCUUGCGGAUGAAGGUUGAACCGGUCGAAGAUACCAGCUGGCUGCAACUGUUUAUUAAAAACACAGCACUCUGCAAACACGAAAGUGGACGUAUAGGGUGUGAUGCCUGCCCGGUGCUGGAAGGUUAAUUGAUGGUGUAAUCGAAAGAGAAGCUCCUGAUCGAAGCCCCAGUAAACGGCGGCCGUAACUAUAACGGUCCUAAGGUAGCGAAAUUCCUUGUCGGGUAAGUUCCGACCUGCACGAAUGGCAUAAUGAUGGCCAGGCUGUCUCCACCCGAGACUCAGUGAAAUUGAAAUCGCCGUGAAGAUGCGGUGUACCCGCGGCUAGACGGAAAGACCCCGUGAACCUUUACUAUAGCUUGACACUGAACAUUGAAUUUUGAUGUGUAGGAUAGGUGGGAGACUUUGAAGUAGUCACGCCAGUGAUUAUGGAGUCGUCCUUGAAAUACCACCCUUUAACGUUUGAUGUUCUAACGAAGAUUACGAAACGUGGUCUCGGACAGUGUCUGGUGGGUAGUUUGACUGGGGCGGUCUCCUCCCAAAGAGUAACGGAGGAGCACGAAGGUUUGCUAAUGACGGUCGGACAUCGUCAGGUUAGUGCAAUGGUAUAAGCAAGCUUAACUGCGAGACAGACAAGUCGAGCAGGUACGAAAGUAGGUCAUAGUGAUCCGGUGGUUCUGAAUGGAAGGGCCAUCGCUCAACGGAUAAAAGGUACUCCGGGGAUAACAGGCUGAUACCGCCCAAGAGUUCAUAU